CCUACGGGUGGCAGCAGUGGGGAAUAUUGCACAAUGGGCGAGAGCCUGAACCAGCCAAGUCGCGUGAAGGAUGACUGUCUUAUGGAUUGUAAACUUCUUUUAUACGGGAAUAACAAGAGCCACGUGUGGCUCCCUGCAUGUACCGUAUGAAUAAGCAUCGGCUAACUCCGUGCCAGCAGCCGCGGUAAUACGGAGGAUGCGAGCGUUAUCCGGAUUUAUUGGGUUUAAAGGGUGCGUAGGCGGCCUGUUAAGUCAGCGGUGAAAUCUAGGAGCUUAACUCCUAAAUUGCCAUUGAUACUGGCGGGCUUGAGUGUAGAUGAGGUAGGCGGAAUGCGUGGUGUAGCGGUGGAAUGCAUAGAUAUCACGCAGAACUCCGAUUGCGAAGGCAGCUUACUAAGGUACAACUGACGCUGAAGCACGAAAGCGUGGGUAUCAAACAGGAUUAGAUACCCGGGUAGUC
Molecule: ribosomal RNA, 460 nt
Filed under: uncultured Porphyromonas sp.
Lineage: Bacteria; Pseudomonadati; Bacteroidota; Bacteroidia; Bacteroidales; Porphyromonadaceae
Description: bacterial SSU rRNA
Rfam family: Bacterial small subunit ribosomal RNA
Source: RNAcentral